GACGAACGCUGGCGGCGUGCCUAAUACAUGCAAGUAGAACGCUGAAGAGAGGAGCUUGCUCUUCUUGGAUGAGUUGCGAACGGGUGAGUAACGCGUAGGUAACCUGCCUUGUAGCGGGGGAUAACUAUUGGAAACGAUAGCUAAUACCGCAUAACAAUGGAUGACACAUGUCAUUUAUUUGAAAGGGGCAAUUGCUCCACUACAAGAUGGACCUGCGUUGUAUUAGCUAGUAGGUGAGGUAAUGGCUCACCUAGGCGACGAUACAUAGCCGACCUGAGAGGGUGAUCGGCCACACUGGGACUGAGACACGGCCCAGACUCCUACGGGAGGCAGCAGUAGGGAAUCUUCGGCAAUGGGGGCAACCCUGACCGAGCAACGCCGCGUGAGUGAAGAAGGUUUUCGGAUCGUAAAGCUCUGUUGUAAGUCAAGAACGGGUGUGAGAGUGGAAAGUUCACACUGUGACGGUAGCUCACCAGAAAGAGACGGCUAACUACGUG
This 497-nucleotide ribosomal RNA is filed under the name uncultured bacterium. RNAcentral's name for it is "partial 16S ribosomal RNA". It matches the Rfam family "Bacterial small subunit ribosomal RNA", at positions 28 to 507 of the family's 1533-position model. The record is from RNAcentral.